CUCUUCUCAUUUGCACCUCCAUUCACAUCUCUCUCUCUCUGAACUCAUCCGAACUCUAAAAGUAUAAACAAUGGAGGAAAGAAUAAAAGACAGCACCAAAGUCGAUCUCAAAAGGAUUUCUAAAUCAAUCAUCUUCUCCUCCUUCUGACCUACCAAACAAACACUCUUUAAGAAGGAGUACGAAGGAAUGAACAAUUGUAGCAACAGAACCAGAUGCGAUGGUGAAAUCAGAUGCUACUGGUUCAAAUCACUCGUAAGUGUGAAAAAACAAGAGAACGAUGAACAGGGUAUUGAGACUUCAACCUGGACAAGUACUGCUUGUUAGGAACACCAUCAUCAUUCGAGGAUGGAUGGAGUCGACCUGAUACCAUCAAGACUUGCAGUUUGAUAAUGUGAGGAUCUAAUUCAACACCUACUGCCCCUAUUUCUUUUAAUAAGAGUCCACCUCGACCUCCACCUAAUGCAGGUUCAGUUGGAGUGCAACUGGAGAUGCAAGUGCAGCUGGAGAUGAUCUUUACUGAAUCUGUUGUUGGAAUUUUUGCUUUUGUUUUACCUAUGUCUGUUGUGUAUAUGGCAUUUUUAAAAAAUCAAUUUGACUAGGUUAAUUUAUAAAUAAUCUUUAGUAAAAUAAUCUGUCAGUUUUGUGAAA
Molecule: long non-coding RNA, 649 nt
Organism: Papaver somniferum (opium poppy)
Lineage: Eukaryota; Viridiplantae; Streptophyta; Magnoliopsida; Ranunculales; Papaveraceae
Exons: 4
Source: RefSeq, a predicted model, not a curated record